Molecule: long non-coding RNA, 4106 nt
Organism: Megalobrama amblycephala (Wuchang bream)
Lineage: Eukaryota; Metazoa; Chordata; Actinopteri; Cypriniformes; Xenocyprididae
Exons: 5
Source: RefSeq, a predicted model, not a curated record
AUAGCUGGUUUUAGCUGGUCUCCCAGCCUGGCCAGGCUGGUCAAGCUGGUCUCCCAGCCUGGCCAGGCUGGUCAAGCUGGUCUCCCAGCCUGGCCAAGCUGGUGUCUAUGGCUGCCUUUACACUUGGCAUUAACAUGUGAUCACCGUGAUCUGAUAAAGCAGAUCGGAUCAUCAGUCAAUCAGAACACAGCACGUUUACACUUGGCAACAUCAACAUCAACUGAUUUUUCUAUCUAGGUAACCGAUCGGAUUGGUCUUUCCUGCGCAAUAUUUAAAUAAGUCUGCAGAGAAUGGCCUGGUGCAAUGUCAACCUGAAAUAAUGGGUUUUCUUUUGAAAAUAGUAAAAAUGAAUUUAAAAAAUACAAAUAAAGUUACAUUUAUCUGAUCCGUCCACACAACAAGAACAUCAUUCAUCAUUAAUUUAUGUAAUAUUUCAUUUUCUUUCCAUAAACCUUUAACAAAAUGACCCUGUGACGGGGUGGUAAAUGUGACAGGGUGGUAACUGAUGUGACGGGGUGGUAUGGACAAAAUGUUUCUCUAUAUGAUCUGCUGGUUUUAAACUUUAAAAACUGGGGGAGGGGAGACAUUCAAAUUGAGUAAAAAGUGUGUGAGUGAUAUAGUGAGUGAGUGAAUUAAUGAACCAAACAGUGUUGCCAAGUCUGCGUUUUUCCCGCAAAAUUGGGCUAGGCUACUUUUACACUGUUGCCGCGGGUUGUUUUUCAUGUCCACGGGUUGAAGCGAGCCCAAAUAACAUGAUAUUUAGCCCUUGGAAUGCACAUUUUACCAAGGGAACCUUGCCAAUAAAAAAGUUUUACCCCCCAGAAUGUGAUUUUUAUCAGGGGACAUUCUGGGAUGAAAUUUACCACCCCGUCACAUACCACCCUGUCACGUUUUUGUGAUGGGGUGGUAUGUGACGGGGUGGUAAAUUUCAUCCCAAAAUGUCCGCAAAUCUCCCAUGUGGUCAAGUUUCUCACCUAGCAUACAUGCAUUCAAUCUGAAAUAUAAUUAUCUUUGUAUUAAUAAUGUAAAAAUAUAUAUUGUGCGUGACAGGGUGGUAAGUCAAACUGAGGGACGUGCACAAAUCACAAAUAUUUACAAAAAAAAUAAGGUUUAUUGUGAAUAAAUAUAUUUUGUUUAAACAGGGACACACAUAUAAUCCUGAAAAUAGCAUAUGUUUGAAAAAAAUAUAUAACUUAUUUGGUGAUAUUUUAGAUGCAAAUGUCAUGUUGGUUAACAUGGACAUGUGAAAUUGGCUAUGUAAUAAUGAAAAAUUAUUAAAAAUAGUAUGCUAAUCUUCAAAAAAACCAUUUGAUCAUAUAUUAUGUCAAAAAGAACACUUGAAUUAAUGACUUUAAGCUUUAGACUUUGGGACAUUUUUUAUGCCUUAUGCAUCUGACCAAAUGUUGCGGACCCAGAUGGCACCCGUUUCGUAGAAUGACCCAUAAUAUGUUAUUGUUCACCUUCAGUUAAUUGGUGAUAUAGUUUUUUUUUAGCAUUUUAAUCAUUCCUAUAAUUUUGUAAAUAUUUGUUAGAAUAGCUGAGUGCCUGCCAGAUUAAAUAAAAAAUUGUUAAAGUGGUUGUGCUUGUGGUCCUGCAGAUUAUUUAAAGUAAAAUUGGAAUGAUUUAAAUUGUCACAACACUCAAUGACAGGAAAAUUGGGUCAAACACUAUCCCAGCCGGCAAAUGACCGACCUUCAAUGUUGAAAUGUGGUUGAAAUAAGGUCAGUUGAUGUUUCAACGUUGAAACAACAUUGAUACAACGUUGAAUGCUAAACGGUUGAAGCCCAGUCAACACAUGACCGAAAUUCAACGUUGAAAUAUGGUUGAAGUAACGUCAGUUGAUGUUUCAACAGUGAAACAAUUAUUAAAUGUAAAAUGGUUGAAAUAGGUUAAGAAAAUCACUUAUAAAUAAAUGCUGAAAUAAGCUUGUAUACUAAAAAAAAACAAGUGUUUAACCAAAUUAUAUAAUAAUAAUAAUAAUAAUAAUAAUAAAGGCUAACAAUAAUGUAUAUGAAAUAAAAAUGUGCCCUAUUAGGCCUGUUUUGCCACUUCUGUGUCAGUUUGUUGGUACGUCAAUAUUUCAGAAAAUGGAAAUUAUAUGCUCAUUUUCAUUUUUUGUGGUCUGAAGAGAUAUCGCGAGAUUACACGAGACUAUAAGAUAUCAAACACCAGAGCCUGAAGCGGAUCUGAGUUACCAUGGAAACGGGGAAACGGCAGUCAGCAAGACCCCGUCUCGCUGUUGUUUUCACUGAUUUUAGGUAAGUUUAGUCCAUAAAAUCACACAAAUAAUAUAUAUAACUGUUCCUGAUACCUUUCUUACGUGUAAUCGACACACUUCUGUUGAAUAUUUACUUCAAAGAAAUGAUUUAGUGUCUUUGAAAAAGUCCGUUAGCAUCUCAACCGUUUUCAGAGGCAGUUGGCUAACUAACUAUAUUUUGAGCUCUUGUUUAAUGAAAGUUUGGCUUUUAAUCGCAUCUUUAUGUGUAGAUGAGAUGUUAUAAUAGUUUUGUAAAGGUUUUGCUGGCAAAUUGUUAAUGGAUGAUAGUAAACUAAUUUAUUUAACCUAAAAGUUGCUGUACCGUUAAUCGGUGACGUCACUUGCAUGAGCGCGAAAAUGAACUGAAACUAUUUCAAACAUGUUUUGAUCUCUAAUGGUAAACAGAUAUGAAUAAAUAAUGUCCUGCAAUUUCAGGGAUAUAUAUAUAUUUUAAUAUGUAUAUUAUUCUUUCCACCUCUGCUCUAGCUUGGUUCCUUGUAAUAAACCUGGCAUUUUAUACAAAAUAUUGUUGGCUCUGAGACAAAUUGCAUGUUGUGUUCCUAGAUCCUUCCAUGCGGAUGGACUCCUGCAUCCCAGCAGAGCUGAGUGACCUCCUGUCAAAGGCCAUGAACCAGAUGAACCUCAAUCAUUCAGCACACUACUGUUGAAAAGUUGUGGGUCUGUAAGAUUUUUACAUGUUUUUGAAAGAAGUCUCACAUUUUAAAAUCAUUAACCCCGGGUUGUUUUAGUGAGAUUGUCCUUGAAAGGCCUGUAGGCUAAAUAAUCAUCUAAAUGAGGUAACAUAGGUGACAAGUAUAAUGUUAUAAUGCUUGUAGUUAUAAUCAUUUAUUUAACUAUUAUAAUAACAGGAUAUCAUGGUCAUUAAUCUAUUUUAUUGUAUUUCUCUAUGUCUGUUUGUAGUUAUGUUUGCCAGUGAACAGACACCAUACUGUUCCACUAAAAGAUGAGAUGUAAUCAGGACAACGCCUUGAUGCCAUUCACACUCAGUACAUGAAGAAGUGAAUAUGAUUUCCUGUAGCAGCUAUGGGAGUGACGACAUAGACCCAACUAUGACGACUUCCGCUUCUGAGAAACCCAAAAAUACGAAUAGGUCUGUAGUAAAAAUUAAAUUCCUCAUUUUAAGGACUUUUCAGUGAACCAUUUCUUUCCUUUUUGUAGAUUCACCAAACAUCUGGCUGAUUACUGGCAAUUUGCAGUAAUGACAGUGGACAAGUGAAGAGAGAGGAGGGGAGGGCAUCAGAAAGGACCUUGAGCUGCUGCGACUGUCUUGGAUAACCCAAAGCACAACUACACUAUGUGUCCAAGUACUGAACAAGGCUUUUCUCCUUACAUAUUAUAUGUAUUUAAUUUAAGGCAGGGUUUUUUUUUCCUGCAUAGUGAAUUACUAGGUGGCUCCCUGUCAAAUUUGAUGCUGUCUCCAGCUAUUAACAAAACUCAGACAGGCAGUCACAUGGUCCGAUUCCCCUUUUCCACCAACACGGUUCUGUUGCAGGAUCCUGGCCUGUGUCCAUUCUCAAACUGUUCCACGCACCUCCACUGCACAAAAGGCAGUUCCAGGACAGAAAUAUCGGUACCCUCACUCUUCACCAGUCAUCACAUUCACAACCACCACAGUCAACGAAGUCAAGGUCCCUGGUCCACAGCAUCAACCAUCUUUGUAGGAAGAUGAUUACUACAUUUCUUGAUGUAUCUUCAAAAUUGACAGAUUUCUUAUGGAGUGCAAUCCCUCUCUAGAUGAACUGAUGCCUAUCGGUCUUACAAAAUACUGUCAGACACUGCAUAUGAUGUUCUCAAAAUAAUAAAUUAAUUAAUAAAAUACUUAAGAAUU